This 2873-nucleotide ribosomal RNA is filed under the name Escherichia coli. Its description in RNAcentral is "partial 23S ribosomal RNA". It matches the Rfam family "Bacterial large subunit ribosomal RNA". Lineage: Bacteria; Pseudomonadati; Pseudomonadota; Gammaproteobacteria; Enterobacterales; Enterobacteriaceae. The record is from RNAcentral.
UGGCAGUCAGAGGCGAUGAAGGACGUGCUAAUCUGCGAUAAGCGUCGGUAAGGUGAUAUGAACCGUUAUAACCGGCGAUUUCCGAAUGGGGAAACCCAGUGUGAUUCGUCACACUAUCAUUAACUGAAUCCAUAGGUUAAUGAGGCGAACCGGGGGAACUGAAACAUCUAAGUACCCCGAGGAAAAGAAAUCAACCGAGAUUCCCCCAGUAGCGGCGAGCGAACGGGGAGCAGCCCAGAGCCUGAAUCAGUGUGUGUGUUAGUGGAAGCGUCUGGAAAGGCGCGCGAUACAGGGUGACAGCCCCGUACACAAAAAUGCACAUACUGUGAGCUCGAUGAGUAGGGCGGGACACGUGGUAUCCUGUCUGAAUAUGGGGGGACCAUCCUCCAAGGCUAAAUACUCCUGACUGACCGAUAGUGAACCAGUACCGUGAGGGAAAGGCGAAAAGAACCCCGGCGAGGGGAGUGAAAAAGAACCUGAAACCGUGUACGUACAAGCAGUGGGAGCACAGAGCAAUCUGUGUGACUGCGUACCUUUUGUAUAAUGGGUCAGCGACUUAUAUUCUGUAGCAAGGUUAACCGAAUAGGGGAGCCGAAGGGAAACCGAGUCUUAACUGGGCGUUAAGUUGCAGGGUAUAGACCCGAAACCCGGUGAUCUAGCCAUGGGCAGGUUGAAGGUUGGGUAACACUAACUGGAGGACCGAACCGACUAAUGUUGAAAAAUUAGCGGAUGACUUGUGGCUGGGGGUGAAAGGCCAAUCAAACCGGGAGAUAGCUGGUUCUCCCCGAAAGCUAUUUAGGUAGCGCCUCGUGAAUUCAUCUCCGGGGGUAGAGCACUGUUUCGGCAAGGGGGUCAUCCCGACUUACCAACCCGAUGCAAACUGCGAAUACCGGAGAAUGUUAUCACGGGAGACACACGGCGGGUGCUAACGUCCGUCGUGAAGAGGGAAACAACCCAGACCGCCAGCUAAGGUCCCAAAGUCAUGGUUAAGUGGGAAACGAUGUGGGAAGGCCCAGACAGCCAGGAUGUUGGCUUAGAAGCAGCCAUCAUUUAAAGAAAGCGUAAUAGCUCACUGGUCGAGUCGGCCUGCGCGGAAGAUGUAACGGGGCUAAACCAUGCACCGAAGCUGCGGCAGCGACGCUGAUGCGUUGUUGGGUAGGGGAGCGUUCUGUAAGCCUGUGAAGGUGUGCUGUGAGGCAUGCUGGAGGUAUCAGAAGUGCGAAUGCUGACAUAAGUAACGAUAAAGCGGGUGAAAAGCCCGCUCGCCGGAAGACCAAGGGUUCCUGUCCAACGUUAAUCGGGGCAGGGUGAGUCGACCCCUAAGGCGAGGCCGAAAGGCGUAGUCGAUGGGAAACAGGUUAAUAUUCCUGUACUUGGUGUUACUGCGAAGGGGGGACGGAGAAGGCUAUGUUGGCCGGGCGACGGUUGUCCCGGUUUAAGCGUGUAGGCUGGUUUUCCAGGCAAAUCCGGAAAAUCAAGGCUGAGGCGUGAUGACGAGGCACUACGGUGCUGAAGCAACAAAUGCCCUGCUUCCAGGAAAAGCCUCUAAGCAUCAGGUAACAUCAAAUCGUACCCCAAACCGACACAGGUGGUCAGGUAGAGAAUACCAAGGCGCUUGAGAGAACUCGGGUGAAGGAACUAGGCAAAAUGGUGCCGUAACUUCGGGAGAAGGCACGCUGAUAUGUAGGUGAAGUCCCUCGCGGAUGGAGCUGAAAUCAGUCGAAGAUACCAGCUGGCUGCAACUGUUUAUUAAAAACACAGCACUGUGCAAACACGAAAGUGGACGUAUACGGUGUGACGCCUGCCCGGUGCCGGAAGGUUAAUUGAUGGGGUUAGCGCAAGCGAAGCUCUUGAUCGAAGCCCCGGUAAACGGCGGCCGUAACUAUAACGGUCCUAAGGUAGCGAAAUUCCUUGUCGGGUAAGUUCCGACCUGCACGAAUGGCGUAAUGAUGGCCAGGCUGUCUCCACCCGAGACUCAGUGAAAUUGAACUCGCUGUGAAGAUGCAGUGUACCCGCGGCAAGACGGAAAGACCCCGUGAACCUUUACUAUAGCUUGACACUGAACAUUGAGCCUUGAUGUGUAGGAUAGGUGGGAGGCUUUGAAGUGUGGACGCCAGUCUGCAUGGAGCCGACCUUGAAAUACCACCCUUUAAUGUUUGAUGUUCUAACGUUGACCCGUGAUCCGGGUUGCGGACAGUGUCUGGUGGGUAGUUUGACUGGGGCGGUCUCCUCCUAAAGAGUAACGGAGGAGCACGAAGGUUGGCUAAUCCUGGUCGGACAUCAGGAGGUUAGUGCAAUGGCAUAAGCCAGCUUGACUGCGAGCGUGACGGCGCGAGCAGGUGCGAAAGCAGGUCAUAGUGAUCCGGUGGUUCUGAAUGGAAGGGCCAUCGCUCAACGGAUAAAAGGUACUCCGGGGAUAACAGGCUGAUACCGCCCAAGAGUUCAUAUCGACGGCGGUGUUUGGCACCUCGAUGUCGGCUCAUCACAUCCUGGGGCUGAAGUAGGUCCCAAGGGUAUGGCUGUUCGCCAUUUAAAGUGGUACGCGAGCUGGGUUUAGAACGUCGUGAGACAGUUCGGUCCCUAUCUGCCGUGGGCGCUGGAGAAUUGAGGGGGGCUGCUCCUAGUACGAGAGGACCGGAGUGGACGCAUCACUGGUGUUCGGGUUGUCAUGCCAAUGGCACUGCCCGGUAGCUAAAUGCGGAAGAGAUAAGUGCUGAAAGCAUCUAAGCACGAAACUUGCCCCGAGAUGAGUUCUCCCUGACUCCUUGAGAGUCCUGAAGGAACGUUGAAGACGACGACGUUGAUAGGCCGGGUGUGUAAGCGCAGCGAUGCGUUGAGCUAACCGGUACUAAUGAACCGUGAGGCUUAACCUU